CCUGGGAGGCUGAAGAGACUUGAAAAAC
RNAcentral lists this non-coding RNA (28 nucleotides) under Cricetulus griseus (Chinese hamster). Lineage: Eukaryota; Metazoa; Chordata; Mammalia; Rodentia; Cricetidae. The record is from RNAcentral.